GAUGAACGCUGGCGGCGUGCCUAAUACAUGCAAGUCGAGCGAACGGACGAGAAGCUUGCUUCUCUGAUGUUAGCGGCGGACGGGUGAGUAACACGUGGAUAACCUACCUAUAAGACUGGGAUAACUUCGGGAAACCGGAGCUAAUACCGGAUAAUAUUUUGAACCGCAUGGUUCAAGAGUGAAAGACGGUCUUGCUGACACUUAUAGAUGGAUACGCGCUGCAUUAGCUAGUUGGUAAGGUAACUGCUUACCAAGGCAACGAUGCAUAGCCGACCUGAGAGCGUGAUCGCACAGACUGGAACUGAGACACGGUCCAGACUCCGACGGGAGGCAGCAGUAGGGAAUCUUCCGGGAUGGGCGAAAGCCUGACGGAGCAACGCCGCGUGAGUGAUGAAGGUCUUCGGAUGGUAAAGCGCUGUAAUUAGGGAGGAACAUAUGUGUAAGUAACUGUGCUCAUCUUGACGGUACCGAAUCAGAAAGCCACGGCUAACUACGUG
RNAcentral lists this ribosomal RNA (497 nucleotides) under uncultured bacterium. RNAcentral's name for it is "partial 16S ribosomal RNA". It matches the Rfam family "Bacterial small subunit ribosomal RNA", at positions 28 to 507 of the family's 1533-position model. The record is from RNAcentral.